GUCCGCAAGGAUGAGUAAAGUGGCGUACGGGUGAGUAACACGUGGAUCAUCUACCUCUCAGUGGGGAAUAACCCUGGGAAACCGGGGCUAAUACCGCAUAAGCCUGCGAAGGGAAAGCAGCAAUGCGCUGAGAGAGGAGUCCGCGGCCGAUUAGCUAGUUGGUAGGGUAAUGGCCUACCAAGGCAAUGAUCGGUAGCCGGCCUGAGAGGGCACACGGCCACACUGGCACUGAAACACGGGCCAGACUCCUACGGGAGGCAGCAGUGGGGAAUCUUGCACAAUGGAGGAAACUCUGAUGCAGCGACGCCGCGUGAGCGAUGAAGCCCUUCGGGGUGUAAAGCUCUUUCGACGGGAACGAUAAUGACGGUACCCGGAGAAGAAGCUGCGGCUAACUACGUGCCAGCAGCCGCGGUAAUACGUAGGCAGCAAGCGUUGUUCGGAAUUACUGGGCGUAAAGAGUGUGUAGGCGGUUCUCUAUGUUCGGUGUGAAAUCUCCCGGCUUAACUGGGAGGGUGCGCCGAAAACUGGAGGGCUUGAGUAUGGGAGAGGAAAGCGGAAUUCCUGGUGUAGCGGUGAAAUGCGUAGAUAUCAGGAGGAACACCUGCGGUGUAGACGGCUUUCUGGACCAUCACUGACGCUGAGACACGAAAGCGUGGGUAGCAAACAGGAUUAGAUACCCUGGUAGUCCACGCCCUAAACGAUGCAUACUUGGGUGUGAGCCGUUCAUUCGGUUCGUGCCGG
RNAcentral lists this ribosomal RNA (741 nucleotides) under uncultured bacterium. Its description in RNAcentral is "bacterial SSU rRNA". It matches the Rfam family "Bacterial small subunit ribosomal RNA", at positions 75 to 849 of the family's 1533-position model. The record is from RNAcentral.